AUUGAACGCUGGCGGCAGGCCUAACACAUGCAAGUCGAGCGGAUGAAGGGAGCUUGCUCCUGGAUUCAGCGGUGGACGGGCGAGUAAUGCCUAGGAAUCUGCCUGGCCUUGGGGGCUAACGUCCGGACACGGGCGCUAAUCCCGCAUACGUCCUGAUGUAGAAACUGGUGGUUCUUCGGACCUCACGCUUUCUGCUGACCCUAGGUCGGAUUAGCUAGUUGGUUGGGUAAAGGCCUACCAAGGCGACGAUCCGUAACUGGUCUGAGAGGAUGAUCAGUCACACUGGAACUGAGACACGGUCCAGACUCCUACGGGAGGCAGCAGUGGGGAAUAUUCGGCAAUGGGCGAAAGCCUGACCCAGCCACGCCGCGUGUGUGAAGAAGGUCUUCGGAUUGUAAAGCACUGUAAGUUGGGAGGAAGAGCAGUAAGUUAAUACCUUGCUGUUUUGACGUUACCAACAGAAUAAGCACCGGCUAACUUCGUG
RNAcentral lists this ribosomal RNA (484 nucleotides) under uncultured bacterium. RNAcentral's name for it is "partial 16S ribosomal RNA". It matches the Rfam family "Bacterial small subunit ribosomal RNA", at positions 30 to 507 of the family's 1533-position model. The record is from RNAcentral.